Long non-coding RNA from Oncorhynchus keta (chum salmon), 415 nucleotides. RefSeq lists it as uncharacterized. NCBI's taxonomy places the organism in Eukaryota, Metazoa, Chordata, Actinopteri, Salmoniformes, Salmonidae. The record is from RefSeq and is a predicted model, not a curated record. The transcript has 5 exons.
UGCUUUACAUCUACAGAGACAAGGUUAGAAUCAGGGGGUGCUUUACAUCUACAGAGACAAGGUUAGAAUCAGGGGGUGCUUUACAUCUACAGAGACAAGGUUAGAAUCAGGCGGUGCUUUACAUCUACAGAGACAAGGUUAGAAUCAGGGGGUGCUUUACAUCUACAGAGACAAGGUUAGAAUCAGGCGGUGCUUUACAUCUACAGAGACAAGGUUAGAAUCAGGGGGUGCUUUACAUCUACAGAGACAAGGUUAGAAUCAGGGGGUGCUUUACAUCUACAGAGACAAGGUUAGAAUCAGGGGGUGCUUUACAUCUACAGAGACAAGGUUAGAAUCAGGGGGUGCUUUACAUCUACAGAGACAAGGUUAGAAUCAGGCGGUGCUUUACAUCUACAGAGACAAGGUUAGAAUCAGG